AUUGAACGCUGGCGGCAUGCUUUACACAUGCAAGUCGAACGGCAGCGCGGGCUUCGGCCUGGCGGCGAGUGGCGAACGGGUGAGUAAUACAUCGGAACGUGCCCAGUAGUGGGGGAUAGCUCGGCGAAAGCCGGAUUAAUACCGCAUACGACCUGAGGGUGAAGGCGGGGGAUCUUCGGACCUCGCGCUAUUGGAGCGGCCGAUGGCAGAUUAGCUAGUUGGUGGGGUAAAGGCCUACCAAGGCGACGAUCUGUAGCUGGUCUGAGAGGACGACCAGCCACACUGGGACUGAGACACGGCCCAGACUCCUACGGGAGGCAGCAGUGGGGAAUUAUGGACAAUGGGCGAAAGCCUGAUCCAGCAAUGCCGCGUGUGUGAUGAAGGCCUUCGGGUUGUAAAGCACUUUUGGCGGGAACGAAAAGGACUGUGCCAAUACCACGGUUCGAUGACGGUACCCGCAGAAUAAGCACCGGCUAACUACGUG
This 484-nucleotide ribosomal RNA is filed under the name uncultured bacterium. RNAcentral describes it as "partial 16S ribosomal RNA". It matches the Rfam family "Bacterial small subunit ribosomal RNA", at positions 29 to 507 of the family's 1533-position model. The record is from RNAcentral.